RNAcentral lists this non-coding RNA (29 nucleotides) under Mus musculus (house mouse). The record is from RNAcentral. Lineage: Eukaryota; Metazoa; Chordata; Mammalia; Rodentia; Muridae.
UACUAAGUUCUGCACUUAAUUUGAGUGGC